UUUCUGUUCAGCAGUCAAGAAUAUUAGUCAAUGCUCGAAAGAGUGAACUAGCUAACUGAAAUCAAUUAAAAAAUUGAUAACAUAAGGGAAAAUAAUGAUAUUACCUUAUUAUUAGUGUCGUCCAAAACUGGUGCCAGAAGACUCGGUAAGGCCAGAGACACAAACGUUAAUCGUCUUAAUCAGGCGUAAAGGGUUUGUAGGCGGCUUUUAAUUUACUUAUAAAUCUUAUAAAAUAAGUUAAGAAUAAAAGCUAGAAUCAAAUAGAGGAUAUAUUAAAUAAUGCUUAGAGUAGGUCUGAUAUCCUUAGAUACUAAGUAGAAUAUUAAAGGCGAAAGCUUUUUUCCAUAAAUGAUUGACGCUCAGAAACGAAGGUGAGGAUAGGAAAUAGGAUUAGAUACCCAAAAUACCCCUCUCUGUCAACGAUGAAUGGUAGUUAUUAAUAAUAAAUUUAUUAUUAAUGGCAAUGUUAACACGAUAACCAUUCCGCCUUGUGAGUACAACUGCAAAGUUGAAAACAAAAAAAUUAGUCGGUUUCGGAGCAAACGAAGUGAAGCAUGUUAUUUAAUUCGAUAAUCCGCAA
Molecule: ribosomal RNA, 580 nt
Filed under: Russula sp.
Lineage: Eukaryota; Fungi; Basidiomycota; Agaricomycetes; Russulales; Russulaceae
Description: SSU rRNA
Rfam family: Bacterial small subunit ribosomal RNA
Source: RNAcentral